AGCUAUAUUUUCUCCCUUCUCAUUGGCAACAUGAAAUUGAAAAUUCUAAUUGACUCAAAAUAAAUAUUUUGAUUGAAGACCAAAAUAAAUUUCUGCAAUUCAGGAACUAUCUAAUUAGCUUUUUCACAGAAGCAUCAUAACUCUUGAAGGCCGCGCUGGAAACUGGCUAUGUUUAUUGUACUCCCACCCAUUCAUUGAUAUAGUUGUUCAGCCCACACGAAAAGAUUCCCGCCGAACUUAUGGGAAAUUAAUUGCGCUGGCUUUUCGCAGUCCGCCCACCUUGUUAACUUGGCUAACUAUGUUGGCAGUAGCGCCAUUCGCGGAUCGCAGAUCGCAGAUCACAGAUCACAGCCUUUGCUGGCAAAUGGGAACGUGCAGAAUUAAUUGCCAACUACGUGCUUGGUCAUGGGAGUUGGAAGUUGCCGGCUCCAGAUCCUGCUUCCAGCCAGACGUGCGGGUCAAAAGCGAAUGAUGAAGAUGAAGAUCUUGGCCCAAACACGUCGACAGCUUAAAAUAACUCACUGUUGGGCUUGAACUUAUUACAUAUAGAGUCUUCUGUAGCGCUUUAAAACUUCCUGAAAAAGCCAUGUGUGUAUUAAAUAAAUUGCCAGACACACCAAGCAGCAGUCAUAAAAGACGAACACCAGCAGGAAUCCCAGCUCAAAAAAAUAGAUGGAAUAAAAGACACA
Molecule: long non-coding RNA, 689 nt
Organism: Drosophila ficusphila
Lineage: Eukaryota; Metazoa; Arthropoda; Insecta; Diptera; Drosophilidae
Exons: 3
Source: RefSeq, a predicted model, not a curated record